AAAAUAUAGGAUUCGAAGCAAAAAUUGAUGAAGUUAUACCUACCGGAGAUCUUGAAGAAAAUUCUAGAGAGUCGGAAACUCUUCCUGAUUUUGGCGGGAACUCACCGGAGAGAACCGAAUCAACCGACAAGCAUCACACCACGAUAAUCUACAACAUCAUACAGUAUAACAUAUCGAUUUUCAUCAAUGGAGAAAAAACAGAGCAUACGAAAACAGAUAAACUUGUCAGUGUGCAAGUACCUGAAACUCCCGGCGAAGAGAAUCAAAAGGUUUCCGAUGAACUUCCGGCUGAUGCUAAGGACAACAAAUCCACCGAACAAUUGGAUACCAGUAGCUUAACCGACACGCAGGAGGAUCCCGAGAGAGAACAUGAUGAAAUUCCGGCAUGCAGUAGGUCAAACUCCAUGGAUUUUGAAUCCGAUAAACAUUCAGAAAUCGAGGAAGAACCUGAAAAACCUGCAACUUCCGGCGAGGAGCUGUUGGAUUCCAUCGAUGAAGAACCUACAAGCAAAUCAGAUGAGAAACCUGUAAUUUCCAGCGAGGAGCUACCGGAUUCCUCCAUGAAUCUCAACGAAUCAACGCGACGCAAAAAAACCGACAAAGAGAUUGAGGAUUCAGGGGAAUACAACCUACGGGGACCAAAUUUCCUACCGGAAGUAGCAGAUCCAGAUGCAG
RNAcentral lists this long non-coding RNA (675 nucleotides) under Lactuca sativa (garden lettuce). RNAcentral's name for it is "long non-coding RNA (LSAT_LNC000584)". Lineage: Eukaryota; Viridiplantae; Streptophyta; Magnoliopsida; Asterales; Asteraceae. The record is from RNAcentral.